Haplochromis burtoni (Burton's mouthbrooder) is the source of this 1164-nucleotide long non-coding RNA. RefSeq lists it as uncharacterized. The record is from RefSeq and is a predicted model, not a curated record. The transcript has 3 exons. Lineage: Eukaryota; Metazoa; Chordata; Actinopteri; Cichliformes; Cichlidae.
CUGAGUCUCUUAGGGAAGCUGAAGUUAGUUCUCUUCACAAAUCAGUCAGUUAAAACGGCCUCAUUCUUUAGGUUGUAAGGUAAUGAGAGGUUGUAAGGUAAUGAGAACCACUAAUUAGCUGCUGAAGUAGCAGGGUCGGCAACUUCAAAGGAGCCAUUUUACCACCUCUAACUGAAAGCUGGGAGAAAAAGAGUCACGUGACUGUGCACGUGUGUUUGUGUUGUGGGUUAAUUAACAGUAGGAAGAGAGAUAGAGUGAGGAUAAAACACAUAAUAUAAGAAUAAUAACAUCUCUUAACAAGAAUACGUUUUUUUUAAUUAAUUUUCGUUUUUUAGUUAAUUUUUAAGAACUGUUUAACAAACACUUGUUUGUGCAGGUUGUUUUUUAAAUAAAACCUGCAGUUCUGUUUAACUUCUCAAUAUGUGAAAGAUUAUUGAAAUAUAAAAAAGCCACCUUCAAAUUAAUAAAAUGCUGCCAUUAAUAUUAUUAAUAUGAUGUGUAGAUAUUUAAAGCAACAACAUAUUAAAUGAUACUAAAUGAUACUGUGUGCAGGUGAUAAUAUUUUUAGGAAGCAGAAUUUGAAUGCAGACCAACUCAAAUGUUGAAGCCUACAAAAAUAUCAUCCAAGCUUUCAUUUAUGAUUGUUCAUACUUUGAAAUUGUGAUGUCAGAAUUUGAUAAAGUGUGCAUUGCUAGGUGUAGCAAAUCAUUGCUUAUUAAAUCUACUCUGUUAUCUAAUAGCACCAAACUAAUAGAGCUAUCACAUAACUGAGAAACGUGUGUGGCUUAUUACAAAUGGAUGAAACCACAUUUUACCUUAAUGAAGACAGUAAUCUUUAAUAAGGUGUAGAAAAAAGAGGUGAGUUGUUUGUAUUCCAGCUGUGGUAAACAAAGAAGUGUACUGAAUCUUUUGGACUACACAGAGUGAUGCAGUAUUGACUCUGAUGCGGAUUGAUGUUGUCUCAUUCUGUGUUUUUGUGCUUUGUCUUUUGUUACAAAGAGUGAAAGAGAUCUUUGGUUUUGCCUUUGCUGACUGCUGAUCUGAUCGUCUCAGUCUGGUGACCUGCUGCAGAAAACCCUCUCCCUCUAUCAUUAACAAGCAAUUCAGUCUGUCCUAUCACUCUCCCUCUCUACUGCUCAUCUUUUUUGACAAGACCGUUCUAUC